UCGAGAAUUUUUCUCAAUGGGGGAAACCCUGAAGGAGCGACGCCGCGUGGAGGAUGAAGGUCUUCGGGUUGUAAACUCCUGUCAUUUGGGAACAAGUGUCGGUACCUAACUGCUACCGGCUUGAUAGUACCAGAAGAGGAAGGGACGGCUAACUCUGUGCCAGCAGCCGCGGUAAUACAGAGGUCCCAAGCGUUGUUCGGAUUCAUUGGGCGUAAAGGGUGUGUAGGUGGCGCCGUAAGUCGGGUGUGAAAUUUCGGAGCUUAACUCCGAAACUGCAUUCGAUACUGCGGUGCUUGAGGACUGGAGAGGAGACUGGAAUUCAUGGUGUAGCAGUGAAAUGCGUAGAGAUCAUGAGGAAGACCAGUGGCGAAGGCGGGUCUCUGGACAGUUCCUGACACUGAGACACGAAGGCCAGGGGAGCAAACGG
Molecule: ribosomal RNA, 427 nt
Filed under: uncultured bacterium
Lineage: Bacteria
Description: bacterial SSU rRNA
Rfam family: Bacterial small subunit ribosomal RNA
Source: RNAcentral